Zophobas morio is the source of this 201-nucleotide long non-coding RNA. RefSeq lists it as uncharacterized. The record is from RefSeq and is a predicted model, not a curated record. Lineage: Eukaryota; Metazoa; Arthropoda; Insecta; Coleoptera; Tenebrionidae. The transcript is spliced from 3 exons.
GGAUGGUUUCAUUUUUCUUGUGUAGGCCUCCAAAGCAAACCAAAAGGGAAAUGGCUGUGUAUGCGAUGCCAGGAAAUACGCGACACCACUUCUACCAAUAAAAAUGCCGGGAAAGACCCGAAGAGGUUCGUCGUAAAGAAGAAAAGGGGUACAGUCCUUGUUCGUGGCAUAUUUUAUUUUGUGGAAGGCUUUGUAGGCACA